Molecule: long non-coding RNA, 1859 nt
Organism: Daphnia carinata
Lineage: Eukaryota; Metazoa; Arthropoda; Branchiopoda; Diplostraca; Daphniidae
Exons: 4
Source: RefSeq, a predicted model, not a curated record
CUACUUUCCUAACAGCAACGUGAUGUCCUCCGACCGAAUCGACGACGACGCUCGCACCGUAGCUCGUGCUCUUACCCAACACUGGUUACAAAAUACGGGAAAUGAGUCAUUUGUCACGCGGGAUUUUCCUAGGAGAUGGAAAAACAGCUGAGUGUUGGCUUCGAAUAAUAGUCGAAAAAAAAAAGAUUUGUCAAGAUGGUUGUGACGAGCCAUCACGACAUAUAUUUCCUGGUCUUUCUCCGUUGUCCCUCGCGUGCAGCAUCAUUAACACCCUAACUACUUAAGAAGGUAAUAAAUGAGAUAAAAAUCGCUUAGGGGGUUACGAUAUUUUCUAGGGUUGUAUUUGGGAAAUGAAGAAAAAAAGAAAUAUCAUUUCUUUUUCCCUCUGCCCAACUGUUGAUACAAUCCUGACAGCUCAUCAGUAGCCUUUCUUUCUUUCUCACAUAAGCAAUGUAUCUGGUUGGGUGAGUCAGCACACACAGGCACAAGAAACGAGUCUUGAUGAAUAAUGCAUGAGGAAUCUGAACACCCAUUUCGAAGAGAAAUAUUCGUUCUUUGUGUGUAUGUGUGGGGUAGGAAAACUUUUUACGUGGGUAAAGAAAAAAGAAGGUCUAUAUGUUUUUAGCUGAGCUGCUGUAUAAGUUCUUUGGCAUCACGAGGUUCUGGAAACACAUCUAACCUUUGGCCUGCAUCAUCACGUUUUACGACUUGUGGUCUAAAAUUCGUUUUAAAGAAAAUUCUAUUUUAUUUUUAUACUAGUCUUUCCUUUUCGCCGGUUAAGAGUUUUUUUUACCGCUAAGAGCUUUCCCGAUCGUAAAAAUCUCUUUUUUUUCUUUACUAUUUUGGUGGAGAUGUAAUCUAUCCCGUAGAGUUUUGACACGUCGUUUCCUUUGAUAUAUAAAUAGGCCUAUACUGAAUUAAAAUGUUGAUACAAUCUCGUGUCAUUAAAUUCGUAGAGAUAAAUCUCUCAAUGUCAUGAAAUUGGUGACCGACCAUGUAAUUCUCUACAUUUUAAUUCUUCCAGGUGGGACAUGAGACAUGCACCUUUGGUGCACGUCCCAUAAAAAAACAUAAAUUUUCUUUCUUUUUUUUUAUUAUCAGAUAUAAAACGAAAUUCUAUACAGCCCCCCGUUUGUAAUAAAAACACGCGUUUAUUCUUUUUGUGCGUGAUCCGUCAAUCUGUGGAAUCCACACAAACUCCAUAACAAGAAAAGGUCUUGUAAACUCCUAGGAAUAAUGUUGUUCAUUAGUCCGUGUAUCUACUUUCUUUUAUCCAACAACGUUGAUGGACAUGUGGAUAGAACAACGAAAAUGAGAGGUUGAUAAAUAGCCGACUGGUUUAUUUCAGCACUUUUUUUCCCCGACGAUAAGCGACGAUGGGUAUAAGGAGGGGAGAACUAGAAAGAAAAAAAAAGGAAAAUUUCCCUAUCAAAACAUUGAUCCUCUCAAAGCUCUCCGACUGCCCCCUCUCAGAAAACGACUUGGCAGCUCGCGAGCCACUUUGAAGCCCGCAGACAUGUAUAUUCAAAAAGAAGAAAAAAAGAAAAACAAGUGAUUUAUGAGCCACGAAAGCCGAGAAAUCCUUCCGAUAUACGAACAUACGUAAGUUUUCUCUCACACCCAGUUCUUAGCUAUUAUAUGCCCUACUACAGGCAAAAAUGCCUCUACUUAUAGAAAGAAAAAUAGACCUAUCCCCUCUCCUGUAUGUGUAUACCAUUAACCUUACCACAGAGGGGCUUAUUCAAACUUUUUAAUUCCUAGUGUUGAAUAAUAAAAUAGGCCCUGACGUGUAGCAGCUGCUGGCUACAACAUUUCCCAACGACCACGAUUGAAAAAAUGUGACCUACACCGGUAGGUCU